This 370-nucleotide ribosomal RNA is filed under the name uncultured organism. Its description in RNAcentral is "bacterial SSU rRNA". It matches the Rfam family "Bacterial small subunit ribosomal RNA", at positions 526 to 896 of the family's 1533-position model. The record is from RNAcentral.
CAGAGGGUGCGAGCGUUAAUCGGAAUUACUGGGCGUAAAGCGCGCGUAGGCGGCUUUGCAAGUCGGGUGUGAAAUCCCCAGGCUUAACCUGGGAACUGCAUUCGAGACUGCAUGGCUAGAGUAUGGGAGAGGGAAGUGGAAUUUCAGGUGUAGCGGUGAAAUGCGUAGAUAUCUGAAGGAACAUCAGUGGCGAAAGCGACUUCCUGGACCAAUACUGACGCUCAUGUGCGAAAGCGUGGGGAGCAAACAGGAUUAGAUACCCUGGUAGUCCACGCCAUAAACGAUGAGAACUGGAUGUCGGGGGGGCUGCCCCUCGGUGUCGUAGCUAACGCGUUAAGUUCUCCGCCUGGGGAGUACGGCCGCAAGGUUG